GAACCUGCAGAGCGUUGUUAGAAACAAUUGUCAGUGAACUUGGGCACUAUUGGGAGGACCUUUAUGCAUGAACUAGUCACACAUUCACCAUGGAUUUUGAUCGUCUAACAUCGUUUUCUGACAAAGGAUAUUGUGCUUGCAAAUCUGUGCAAAGUAUUGUCACAGAUGUUGAGCACUCAGCUUUGUCAUUGGUAAUAGUUUCAAGGUGGAAGCUUAGUGUCUGGUCAUUUGCAGUGACCUGAUGGGUACAAAUUAUCGAGCAAGUAUUGGGAGGUCUGUAAUGCUCCAACAAAUCUAAUUUUGAUCUACAAUUAGAACGGAGUAGAACUCUAUUUUAGGCGUCACUAAAUAAGUGACAAUGUUUAGCUUUUAGCAAAAUGAUGGCAGUCUGGCUAACAAUUGCAGUUCAUCUAUAAUGAUUGAGGAUGUGUCUUAGCAAUGUAUUGAUUGUCUUUUAUAUCUUCUCUUCGGGGUGUGGUUUUUAGUGACAUGAUUUGGGCCAACAAUCUCAAUGUGUACUAGAGCUUGAAUUUAGAGAACCUAUUGAUAUAGUCGUGUCUUGGAAGUUUCUGUAAAGGAACCAAAUACUUGUACAUCAGAGAUAUCUUGAAACACCUGUUGUAUGGUUUUGUUGCUUCAAUUCCUCUUACUUUGAUGAGCUUUUGUUAGACACAUAUUGAACACUUGCAAAGGGCAUGGCUAGAGCCUAGAGGAUCUGCUAAGUAUGAGGAAUGAAAAAAUUGAACGUACCCAUACUGGACAUGGGUGUGUAUCCAGCACCCAUACCUGAGUCUUGAGUAACAUGUAUUGCAGAAGCAAAUAAUUGUGGAGUUUGAACUGUUCCUUGUUUCCAUGUGAUUGACAGGCCUUAGGGUCGCAAUCCUUUUUUGUUGCAAGAAAAUUUUAAGGAAGUUUUGUUCUGAUGGAAGAAUUAUUGUAAGAGUAAUAAUUAUCUGUUGUAUGCUUGUCAUGCAGUCACUUAUGCCUCAACUUUGUUCUUCUGUUCUUGAAAUGGCUACCACUACCACUUGAAAUGCGAUUUUAUUAGAUCUGCAAGGUGGAAGUAAAUAUGUGACAAUCUUUAACUGAGCCCAUUUGACUCCUUUUUCAACAACGGUGAGCCCAUUUACAACUUGAGUUGCCUAUCAACACAAAUACAACUUGAAUUGCCUAUCGACACAAAUGAGUUAUCCGGUGAUGAUGGCUUGAACUUCAGAUGUAGAAACUCGUUGAAAUCUGUCCUACAUGCGUACAAGAAGUUAAAGGCCUGCUAUUCUCUUCUUUCCUCCCUUAAGUAACCCUAUCUUUUCUUUUCUGCUAUGGCUAUCCUAUUUUUCUGAUAUCCAGCUGGGUCAGUGAGAUGCUUCUGUUUAAUUAUAGUUCUGCGCUGUUAGUAUAACAUGAGCAGAACUGGAAUAUCUAGAUAACUGAUUGCUGACGAAGAAUAUGGCUUGGUAUUACAAAGUAUAGUUCUGAUGUUUCUUCAAAGCUUUCAAGCCUUUAUCAUUCAAGUACAGAGAGGUAAGAGAUCCCAGAAGGCUUCCUUUUCAGUUUUAAAGAAUUUGUUAGGUUGGGUGAAGAAAAUUACACCCAGAAAAAAAGGCUGGGGAAAGAAAAGGAGAGAAAAAGGAAAGAGGGAGGAGGGGUGGCACAAGUAGCAAUCAGUGACAUCACAUUGUCAAUCAUCAGUGUUGGAGUCCAUUUUUUCUUAUUUAGUGCAGUGUUUUAUCGUUGUAAUUUUGGUGAGAUGUGCCUUGCGUGGUGCAAAAACACCUGAAGGGAGGAGUCCCUUCCAGAAUCUCAAGACAUGGGAUUAAGCAAUUUCUGACCAAAUGUGUGCUGUGAUUUGUUUCCACAGAUCUUCAAGCCUGGGUGAACUCGAGGCACAGAAUCCUCAAUCCCCGAAGAAUCUAUGGGCACUAGGACUUUACUACACUUUCCCCAUGUCGUAAUUUUUGAAAGAGUCGCCUCGGGCGGCCUUUGUCCUUGAUGGUCCUGAACUGUGAUAUUAUCUAGGACCUAGCCUGUAUCUAUUAAGAAUUAAACCAAGACCGAUAAUUAAAUUCUACCUCUUAUGUUUUCCA
Long non-coding RNA from Hevea brasiliensis (rubber tree), 2084 nucleotides. RefSeq lists it as uncharacterized. The record is from RefSeq and is a predicted model, not a curated record. The transcript has 2 exons. NCBI's taxonomy places the organism in Eukaryota, Viridiplantae, Streptophyta, Magnoliopsida, Malpighiales, Euphorbiaceae.